This 896-nucleotide long non-coding RNA is filed under the name Phascolarctos cinereus (koala). RNAcentral's name for it is "lncRNA (ENSPCIG00000036309.1)". Lineage: Eukaryota; Metazoa; Chordata; Mammalia; Diprotodontia; Phascolarctidae. The record is from RNAcentral.
AAAAAAAAACCGAAAACUUUUGUCCACCAGCUGCCUGCCUGCCUGCCUGACUGCCCCGCUGUUUGGGGCAGUGCUGGUGAGAAAAGGGAGCUGUAGACUGCCAGGGACAGACGGUGUUUAGAAACUGGAGCUAUAACCCAGAACUGUUCAUCUAGGGCAAAAAGAGCCAAGCAGGAGCAUGUUUCAGAGGAUGGGCUGACCUCUGUGGUUGCAGUUAUUCCAGAAGAAGGUGGCUCAUUCUUAAGAGUCUGUAUGGAGGAAAGUGGAGAGAUGGAUCUGGGGAAGGGAUAGCAUGGUGAUGGGACCUAAGGGUGGUUGAAACUUACGUCUGUUUGGGUCAUCAGAGGAUUGAAAAGUCAGGCACAGAGAUGGGGUGGGGUGGGAGUGUUCCGCAGAGAGGAAGUAUGUCACACCCAUGAUGGUGUCCUAGGGAAAGACCCUGCCUUUUUGCUAGUAGCAGAUCUAAUGGAAACAACUUCAUACUGACUAGGAUUGUUUACCGGGAGAGUAGAUGUAUUGAAGGGGGAAGGGGCUGCAGGGCUGGGAUACAAGUGUCCAAAUAAGAAAAUGUGCCCCAUAUUUAAAGCUGCUAAUUCUUGGUUUGGAUAUUCCCACUAACCCUUUUUGUUUGUGUCCUCAGAGGAUGGAUUAGGAUUGGUGCUACGGCUCUGAUGUAGCUGAAAGAUGGAAAAAAAAAGCCUCAAAGACAUGUGGUUUUACAUCUGAGGGGGCCCAGAGCCGAACUUGAUCUUUCCAAAGUCAACAGUCAGUUGGCUCCACGUUCACCUUUUCUGACAGUAGCAGAGAAAUAAUUUAAGUGUUUCAAGAAAAAUGACCAUUCUGGGCCAAAUACAUCUCUCUUUUGUGACUCCAUUAUUUCAAAAGCAGAGGCCCUG